UGAGGUGACUUUGGCGGCGGGGUCCACCUCUUCCCAUUCCGAACAGAGAAGUUAAGCCCGCCAGCGCCGAUGGUACUAGAGUAAAAUCCGGGAGAGUAGGUCGUUGCCUUUU
RNAcentral lists this ribosomal RNA (112 nucleotides) under Chitinophagaceae bacterium. Lineage: Bacteria; Pseudomonadati; Bacteroidota; Chitinophagia; Chitinophagales; Chitinophagaceae. The record is from RNAcentral. RNAcentral also lists the same sequence under 7 other names.